Long non-coding RNA from Protopterus annectens (West African lungfish), 316 nucleotides. RefSeq lists it as uncharacterized. NCBI's taxonomy places the organism in Eukaryota, Metazoa, Chordata, Ceratodontiformes, Protopteridae. The transcript is spliced from 4 exons. The record is from RefSeq and is a predicted model, not a curated record.
GCUAUAUCUAAGAAAUCACCUCCAAAACCUCCACUAAGAAACUUACGUGUGAUAUGUAAAAAUAGAAUCCCUCAUAAUAUACAUAAAGGUGGUGAUGAGAAGACCAUGUUGGAGGCCAAGGAAUGUCUCUGGCAACUAAGACUUAACGCCUGUACUUUGCCAGAUAACUCAAAUGUAUACACCACAGCACCACAGCUGUCUUCCCAGGAACAAGUAGAAACAGCAAAUGCCCUAUCAUCAGACACAUCAAAUGUAUACUAUAAUGUUCCAGUACAGUUCUCCCAUGGACAAACAGAAACAGCGGAUUCUGCAACAU